Non-coding RNA from Vicugna pacos (alpaca), 409 nucleotides. NCBI's taxonomy places the organism in Eukaryota, Metazoa, Chordata, Mammalia, Artiodactyla, Camelidae. The record is from RefSeq and is a predicted model, not a curated record.
AAUAAGCAUGCGUAAAGGCUCGCCCUCUAUCCUCCGCCACGUUCCUGCACUCAGUGCGCGUGCGCUACCGGAACCCGGAGGCGGCUCUGGGCUCCGCCCGUCUAUUUAGCACUCGACAGGUCGGCGAAUGGCUCCAGGAGUUGCGCCCGCGCUGUGGACGCCUCUACCGGAAGUGGGCGGGAUUGUGUUCCAAAGCCAGAGGGCGGAGGGAGACAGCGCGGCAAAGGCGAGUGUGGCUGAAUGGAAAGCUCAAUUUGGGGACUGUCGAAAAGGCCCUGCUGCAGAAUUACUGAGCCUAGAAAUGUAGAGGCCAGAAUAUGAUCAAAAGGAGCUUGAUUUUUGAUUUUAGAAAAAUUUUACAAUAUUAUUCUUGUUUACAGGUGUGUUAAAUAAAAGUUUUAGGGAGAAA